ACAUUGAACCUUCGAAGAGAACAGAUGUCAUAGAUUUACCGCUGAAAAAAAUAACAGAAAACAGUGAAUAAAAUAUAUCAAUUCAGUGAAAACAUUCAUUAAAAGUGCUUUUUAAUACUGAUCAUCAAAAUUAAUAAAUAAAACUUGAAGAUGACUAAUAUGGCGAUGGAUGAAGACAACGUGGUUUCCUUAGACAUGUGCCAAAGAAACACGCGCUUCAAGAUGGCGGUCAACAUCACCCCCUCUUCUACACAGCUAGAAAAGAUAAUUGGUGUUAAGAGUUUCAGACAACAGAUGGCCAAAAAACGUAAAAGUCAGCCAAAUUAAUUUUCAAAAGCACAAAUGGGGAUUUUGAAAUCUACACACACAAUUUAAACAUAAAAAAUAACGAAAAAUUAAAAAAAAAUAGUCAAAUUAAAAAAAAAUCAUAAGAAAAAUAAUUAAAACAUAUUCAAAGUAAAAAUGAUCUAAAUCUUAAAAUAAAACUGAAACUACAAACAAGAACAAAAUCGAAAAUAAUAAGAACUAAGAACAAGAAUUUAUUGAAAUUAUUUUGCGACUUAUUUAUAUAGGUCUGUAAUUUCAGAGCAGAAAGAGAAUUGCGCGAGCUUUAAUACGCAUUUACAAUGAAACCGUUAACAAUAAAAAACACACUAAGAUUUAAAACAAAGAUAAAAGGCAUAUCAUUAGAAAAUAUUUAAAAAAAAAUUAACUUUUCAACAAUUCAAAUUAGAACAUAAUCAAAAAUUAUAAGAAUAAAGAACAAGAAUUUAUUGAAAUUAUUUUUCGACUUAUUUAUAUAAGUCUGUAAUUUCAUUGUAGAAAAAGAACUGUGCGAACUUUAAUACGCAUUUACGGUAAAACCAAUGAAAUGAAAGAAACAUAAAAAUUGUUAGAAAAUAAGCAAACAAGAUGAAACAAAAGAAAACAUGAAAUUUUGCAGUUUUGUAACCGUUCGGCUAUAUGGAUCUUUUUGAAUCCGACAGCCGUACAAAUUAAAAUAAAGAAGAAGAAGAAGAAGAA
This is a long non-coding RNA of Phlebotomus papatasi, 1023 nucleotides long. RefSeq lists it as uncharacterized. The transcript is spliced from 2 exons. The record is from RefSeq and is a predicted model, not a curated record. NCBI's taxonomy places the organism in Eukaryota, Metazoa, Arthropoda, Insecta, Diptera, Psychodidae.